Molecule: ribosomal RNA, 236 nt
Filed under: uncultured bacterium
Lineage: Bacteria
Description: partial 16S ribosomal RNA
Rfam family: Bacterial small subunit ribosomal RNA
Source: RNAcentral
UGGCGAACGGGUGAGUAACACGUGGGUAACCUGCCCUCCACUCUGGGAUAACUCCGGGAAACCGGGGCUAAUACCGGAUACGAGUUCUGACCGCAUGGUCGGGGCUGGAAAGUUUUUCGGUGGAGGAUGGACCCGCGGCCUAUCAGCUUGUUGGUGGGGUAAUGGCCUACCAAGGCUUUGACGGGUAGCCGGCCUGAGAGGAUGAUCAGCCACACUGGGACUGAGACACGGCCCAG